RNAcentral lists this ribosomal RNA (507 nucleotides) under uncultured bacterium. RNAcentral describes it as "bacterial SSU rRNA". It matches the Rfam family "Bacterial small subunit ribosomal RNA", at positions 28 to 526 of the family's 1533-position model. The record is from RNAcentral.
GAUGAACGCUAGCGGCAGGCUUAACACAUGCAAGUCGAGGGGUAGCAGGAGAUAGUUUACUAUUUUGCUGACGACCGGCGCACGGGUGAGUAACGCGUAUACAAUUUACCUUUUACAGGAGGAUAGCCCAGAGAAAUUUGGAUUAAUACUCCAUGGUAUUACGAGAUCGCAUGGUUUUGUAAUUAAAGUUUCGGCGGUAGAAGAUGAGUAUGCGUCCUAUUAGCUAGUUGGUAAGGUAACGGCUUACCAAGGCGACGAUAGGUAGGGGUCCUGAGAGGGAGAUCCCCCACACUGGUACUGAGACACGGACCAGACUCCUACGGGAGGCAGCAGUGAGGAAUAUUGGGCAAUGGAGGCAACUCUGACCCAGCCAUGCCGCGUGCAGGAAGACUGCCCUAUGGGUUGUAAACUGCUUUUAUACAGGAAGAAACUUACCCACGUGUGGGUAACUGACGGUACUGUACGAAUAAGGACCGGCUAACUCCGUGCCAGCCGCCGCCGUAACAC